Molecule: transfer RNA, 87 nt
Filed under: Candidatus Cloacimonadota bacterium
Lineage: Bacteria; Pseudomonadati; Candidatus Cloacimonadota
Also listed under: 1 other name
Description: tRNA-Leu
Rfam family: tRNA
About the family: Transfer RNA (tRNA) molecules are approximately 80 nucleotides in length.
Source: RNAcentral
GCUGGAGUGGUGAAAUUGGCAGACACGCUAGAUUCAGGUUCUAGUGAGAUUACUCUCAUAGGGGUUCGAGUCCCCUCUCCAGCACCA